Molecule: ribosomal RNA, 253 nt
Filed under: uncultured bacterium
Lineage: Bacteria
Description: partial 16S ribosomal RNA
Rfam family: Bacterial small subunit ribosomal RNA
Source: RNAcentral
UACGUAGGGGGCAAGCGUUGUCCGGAAUCAUUGGGCGUAAAGAGCGUGUAGGCGGUUCGGUAAGUCGGCUGUGAAAGUCCAGGGCUCAACCCUGGGAUGCCGGUCGAUACUGCCGGACUAGAGUUCGGAAGAGGCGAGUGGAAUUCCUGGUGUAGCGGUGAAAUGCGCAGAUAUCAGGAGGAACACCAAUUGCGAAGGCAGCUCGCUGGGACGUAACUGACGCUGAGACGCGAAAGCGUGGGGAGCAAACAGG